UUUGAAUCUGGACCGCUGAUAGUUUCUUAUUUUUACCGUCCAUCGGUGUGUUUUAUAAAAGGGUCUGCCAUUUGGACGGUCCAGAUUCAUAAAACGGAGAGUGAACUACGUGUACUGUAUAGUUGAGAACUACUGUGUGUGUUGAACCUGCCAGCUUGGGAAGCGACCUCCAGCUGCCAUGGCCGUUCUUCUUGAUGUAAUCGACGAGGAUCUCAUCUUCUUCAGGCGUCCACGGCCCUUUCUUCAAUCCCUGCUUGUCACAGCAAGGAGCUCUUCCCAUUCUCUCUCUCUCUCUCUCUCUCUCUCUCUCUCUCUCUUCGAAAAUCAAAGGAGGCGGUGAUGAGAAGAUCGAUCGAUCGUAUCCAUUCUCAGAGGCAUAAA
This is a long non-coding RNA of Magnolia sinica, 381 nucleotides long. RefSeq lists it as uncharacterized. The transcript is spliced from 2 exons. Lineage: Eukaryota; Viridiplantae; Streptophyta; Magnoliopsida; Magnoliales; Magnoliaceae. The record is from RefSeq and is a predicted model, not a curated record.